RNAcentral lists this ribosomal RNA (429 nucleotides) under Gemmatimonadota bacterium. Its description in RNAcentral is "Gemmatimonadetes bacterium partial 16S ribosomal RNA". It matches the Rfam family "Bacterial small subunit ribosomal RNA", at positions 355 to 776 of the family's 1533-position model. The record is from RNAcentral. Lineage: Bacteria; Pseudomonadati; Gemmatimonadota.
UAGGGAAUCUUCGGCAAUGGACGAAAGUCUGACCGAGCAACGCCGCGUGAGUGAAGAAGGUUUUCGGAUCGUAAAACUCUGUUGUUAGAGAAGAACAAGGACGUUAGUAACUGAACGUCCCCUGACGGUAUCUAACCAGAAAGCCACGGCUAACUACGUGCCAGCAGCCGCGGUAAUACGUAGGUGGCAAGCGUUGUCCGGAUUUAUUGGGCGUAAAGCGAGCGCAGGCGGUUUCUAAAGUCUGAUGUGAAAGCCCCCGGCUCAACCGGGGAGGGUCAUGGGAAACUGGGAGACUUGAGUGCAGAAGAGGAGAGUGGAAUUCCAUGUGUAGCGGUGAAAUGCGUAGAUAUAUGGAGGAACACCAGUGGCGAAGGCGGCUCUCUGGUCUGUAACUGACGCUGAGGCUCGAAAGCGUGGGGAGCAAACAGG